GACGAACGCUGGCGGCGUGCUUAACACAUGCAAGUCGAGCGGUAAGGCCCUUUCGGGGGUACACGAGCGGCGAACGGGUGAGUAACACGUGGGUGACCUGCCCUCAGCUCUGGGAUAAGCCUGGGAAACUGGGUCUAAUACUGGAUAUGACUCCACGGUGCAUGUCGCGGGGUGGAAAGCCUUGUGCGGCUGAGGAUGGGCCCGCGGCCUAUCAGCUUGUUGGUGGGGNGAUGGCCUACCAAGGCGACGACGGGUAGCCGGCCUGAGAGGGCGACCGGCCACACUGGGACUGAGACACGGCCCAGACUCCUACGGGAGGCAGCAGUGGGGAAUCUUGCGCAAUGGGCGAAAGCCUGACGCAGCGACGCCGCGUGAGGGAUGACGGCCU
RNAcentral lists this ribosomal RNA (388 nucleotides) under uncultured bacterium. RNAcentral's name for it is "bacterial SSU rRNA". It matches the Rfam family "Bacterial small subunit ribosomal RNA", at positions 28 to 417 of the family's 1533-position model. The record is from RNAcentral.